Molecule: ribosomal RNA, 166 nt
Filed under: Orobanche cernua
Lineage: Eukaryota; Viridiplantae; Streptophyta; Magnoliopsida; Lamiales; Orobanchaceae
Description: 5.8S ribosomal RNA
Rfam family: 5.8S ribosomal RNA
About the family: 5.8S ribosomal RNA (5.8S rRNA) is a component of the large subunit of the eukaryotic ribosome. It is transcribed by RNA polymerase I as part of the 45S precursor that also contains 18S and 28S rRNA. Functionally, it is thought that 5.8S rRNA may be involved in ribosome translocation.
Source: RNAcentral
CAAAAUGACUCUCGGCAACGGAUAUCUCGGCUCUCGUAUCGAUGAAGAACGUAGCGAAAUGCGAUACUUGGUGUGAAUUGCAGAAUCCCGUGAACCAUCGAGUCUUUGAACGCAAGUUGCGCCCGAAGCCUUCAGGCUAAGGGCACGUCUGCCUGGGCGUCACACA